Molecule: ribosomal RNA, 253 nt
Filed under: uncultured bacterium
Lineage: Bacteria
Description: partial 16S ribosomal RNA
Rfam family: Bacterial small subunit ribosomal RNA
Source: RNAcentral
UACAGAGGUCCCAAGCGUUGUUCGGAUUCACUGGGCGUAAAGGGUGCGUAGGUGGCCAGGUAAGUUUGGUGUGAAAGCUCGGAGCUUAACUCCGAAAAGUCAUUGAAUACUAUCUGGCUGGAGGGUCGGAGGGGAGACUGGAAUUCUCGGUGUAGCAGUGAAAUGCGUAGAUAUCGAGAGGAACACCAGUGGCGAAGGCGGGUCUCUGGGCAACAACUGACGCUGAGGAGCGAAAGCGUGGGGAGCGAACAGG